Molecule: ribosomal RNA, 301 nt
Filed under: uncultured bacterium
Lineage: Bacteria
Description: partial 16S ribosomal RNA
Rfam family: Bacterial small subunit ribosomal RNA
Source: RNAcentral
CAGUCGCCGCGGGAAUACGAAGGGUGCAAGCGUUACUCGGAAUUACUGGGCGUAAAGCGUGCGCAGGCGGUGUUGUAAGACUGAUGUGAAAUCCCCGGGCUCAACCUGGGAGCUGCAUUGGUGACUGCAACGCUGGAGUGCGGCAGAGGGGGAUGGAAUUCCGCGUGUAGCAGUGAAAUGCGUAGAUAUGCGGAGGAACACCGAUGGCGAAGGCAAUCCCCUGGGCCUGCACUGACGCUCAUGCACGAAAGCGUGGGGAGCAAACAGGAUUAGAUACCCCUGUAGUCCCUGUCUCUUAUAC